UGUAAGCGUAUACCAAAGUUGUUGCAGUUAACACGCUCGUAGUCGGAAUUUGGCAGUUCCGGAUGUGUGCACGUCGUGUGCGCACUUCGCGGGGAUUGCUUUUGUGGUCUUGCGUAGGAUGAGGCACUUUUAUUAGUGAACGUCCUCACGCAACCACUUUUUACUGUGAGAAAAUCAGAGUGCUCAAAGCAGGCAUUUGCCGUGAAUGUAUUAGCAUGGAAUAAUAGAAUAGGACUUGGUUCUAUUUUGUUGGUUUGUUGGGACUGAGUAAUGAUUAAGAGGGACAGUUGGGGGCAUUUGUAUUUCGGUGCUAGAGGUGAAAUUCUUAGAUUACCGAAAGACAAACUGCUGCGAAAGCGUCUGCCAAGGAUGUUUUCAUUGA
RNAcentral lists this ribosomal RNA (382 nucleotides) under uncultured eukaryote. Its description in RNAcentral is "partial 18S ribosomal RNA". It matches the Rfam family "Eukaryotic small subunit ribosomal RNA", at positions 592 to 976 of the family's 1831-position model. The record is from RNAcentral.